AACACAUGCAAGUCUUUGGCGAAGCUGUGCUUGCACAGACGAGCCAAGGCGGACGGGUGAGUAACGCGUAAGGAACUUGCCCCGCAGACAGGGAUAACAGACGGAAACGACUGAUAAGACCUGGUGUUGUCAGGCUGACGCAUGUCAGGCUGAUGAAAGGAGACGCUGCGGGAGAGCCUUGCGUCCUAUUAGCUUGUUGGUGGGGUAACGGCCCACCAAGGCGAUGAUAGGUAGCCGGCCUGAGAGGGUGAACGGCCACAAGGGGACUGAGAUACGGCCCUUACUCCUACGGGAGGCAGCAGUGGGGAAUAUUGGACAAUGGGGGGAACCCUGAUCCAGCAAUUCUGUGUGCACGAAGAAGGUUUUCGGAUUGUAAAGUGCUUUCAGCAGGGAAGAAGCAAGUGACGGUACCUGCAGAAGAAGCGACGGCUAAAUACGUGCCAGCAGCCGCGGUAAUACGUAUGUCGCAAGCGUUAUCCGGAAUUAUUGGGCAUAAAGGGCAUCUAGGCGGCCCUGUAAGUCUAGGGUGAAAACCUGCGGCUCAACCGCAGGCCUGCCCCGGAAACUACAGGGCUGGAGUAUUGGAGAGGUGGACGGAACUGCACGAGUAGAGGUGAAAUUCGUAGAUAUGUGCAGGAAUGCCGAUGAUGAAGAUAGUUCACUGGACGAUAACUGACGCUGAAGUGCGAAAGCUGGGGGAGCGAACAGGAUUAGAUACCCUGGUAGUCCCAGCUGUAAACGAUGAUUACUGGGUGUGGGCAUGAAGAGUGUCCGUGCCGAAGC
RNAcentral lists this ribosomal RNA (783 nucleotides) under Leptotrichia sp. 0110 93918. RNAcentral describes it as "bacterial SSU rRNA". It matches the Rfam family "Bacterial small subunit ribosomal RNA", at positions 50 to 852 of the family's 1533-position model. The record is from RNAcentral. Lineage: Bacteria; Fusobacteriati; Fusobacteriota; Fusobacteriia; Fusobacteriales; Leptotrichiaceae.